AACGAACGCUGGCGGCAUGCCUAACACAUGCAAGUCGAACGAAGCCUUUCGGGCUUAGUGGCGCACGGGUGCGUAACACGUGGGAAUCUGCCCUUCGGUUCGGAAUAACAGUUAGAAAUGACUGCUAAUACCGGAUGAUGACGUAAGUCCAAAGAUUUAUCGCCGAAGGAUGAGCCCGCGUAGGAUUAGGUAGUUGGUAGGGUAAUGGCCUACCAAGCCGACGAUCCUUAGCUGGUCUGAGAGGAUGAUCAGCCACACUGGGACUGAGACACGGCCCAGACUCCUACGGGAGGCAGCAGUGGGGGAAUAUUGGACAAUGGGCGAAAGCCUGAUCCAGCAAUGCCGCGUGAGUGAUGAAGGCCUUAGGGUUGUAAAAGCUCUUUUACCAGGGGAUGAUAAUGACAGUACCUGGAGAAUAAGCUCCGGCUAACUCCGUG
This 437-nucleotide ribosomal RNA is filed under the name uncultured bacterium. Its description in RNAcentral is "bacterial SSU rRNA". It matches the Rfam family "Bacterial small subunit ribosomal RNA", at positions 29 to 507 of the family's 1533-position model. The record is from RNAcentral.